Long non-coding RNA from Eptesicus fuscus (big brown bat), 470 nucleotides. RefSeq lists it as uncharacterized. The transcript has 3 exons. NCBI's taxonomy places the organism in Eukaryota, Metazoa, Chordata, Mammalia, Chiroptera, Vespertilionidae. The record is from RefSeq and is a predicted model, not a curated record.
CUCCCAGACAGCUGAGCAAGGGCCUGCUUCCAAGUGGCAGGCAAGUAUUAAGUGCCCAGCUGAAGGGACUUAGACCUGCGGGUCACUAAUGACAACAGAUAAAUAGAGCUUGCUCCAUUUGUGCAUCUCCAUGUGUCAGUGACAAUGUCCUGGACAACUUCCAGCCAGGGUGGGAGGUAGAAACAUUUCUCAUUCCUGAAAAGUCCCAAGCUGAUAUCAGAGAGCUGCUGAGGAUUCAAACUGAAGAAGAUCCGAGAGGAAAAGAUGAAGACAGGAUGUGCACAAAGAAUAGCAGAGCAGUUGCAGGGAAGUCAUGCUCACCUUCAAGGGGUGACACCGCUCCCUCGGUACCUCCACAGAAUUUACUCUACUCCCUCAAUACUACUCUCACUGCACUGCCAUCACUUUUCAGUGAGCUCAGUAGGGGUAGCAACCAGUUUUAUUCCUCUGUGUGCAUACAUGCAUGGGCC